RNAcentral lists this ribosomal RNA (2650 nucleotides) under human gut metagenome. RNAcentral describes it as "bacterial LSU rRNA". The stretch from base 1 to 2072 matches the Rfam family "Bacterial large subunit ribosomal RNA". The record is from RNAcentral.
AGAGCGUAGGGAGAAUGCCUUGGCAUUAGGAGCCGACGAAGGACGUGAUAAGCUGCGAUAAGCUGCGGGGAUCAGCAAGUAUGAAUUGAUCCGCAGAUUUCCGAAUGGAGCAAUCCGUAUGUGUAUGCACAUACAUCAUAUACUGAAUCAAAUAGGUAUAUGAGGGGAACCGCCUGAACUGAAACAUCUAAGUAGGGCGAGGAAGAGAAAUCAACCGAGAUUCUGUGAGUAGUGGCGAGCGAAAGCGGAAGAGGCUAAACCAUAGGUAGCAAUACUUAUGGGGUUUCGGACAGCAUUUAGUAUUGAUAAUUUCUAGUUGAAACGUGUGGGAAAACGUACCGAAGAGUGUGAGAGUCACGUAAGCGAAAGAGAAAGUCAGCGAGCUGUAUCCAAAGUACCGCGGGACACGUGAAACCCCGUGGGAAGAUGGGGGGACCAUCCUCCAAGCCUAAAUACUACCUAAUGACCGAUAGCGAAUAGUACUGUGAAGGAACGGUGAAAAGAACCCCGGGAGGGGAGUGAAAAAGAACCUGAAACCCUAUGCUUACAAGCACCGAGAGCACGUCAAAGUGUGAUCGGGUACCUUUUGUAGAAUGGUCCGGCGAGUUAUUGUAUGCGGCAAGGUUAAGUGCUUAAGGCACGGAGCCGAAGCGAGAGCAAGUCUGAACAGGGCGAAAAAGUCGUAUGCAAUAGACCCGAAACCGAGUGACCUAUCCAUGUCCAGGCUGAAGUGGAGGUAAAACUCCAUGGAGGGCCGAACACACGUCCGUUGAAAAGGCCGGUGAUGAGGUGUGGAUAGCGGAGAAAUUCCAAUCGAACUCGGAUAUAGCUGGUUCUCUCCGAAAUAGCUUUAGGGCUAGCCUCGUGAAAGAUUACUGGAGGUAAAGCACUGAAUGGGCUAGGGGUCGAAAGAUUACUGAACCCUAUCAAACUAAGAAUGCCAGAUAAUUGAUUCACGGGAGUCAGACAAUGUGAGAUAAGUCUCAUUGUCAAAAGGGAAACAGCCCAGACCCACAGCUAAGGUCCCUAAACAUUGUUAAGUGGAAAAGGAUGUGGGGUUGCAUAAACAACCAGGAUGUUGGCUUAGAAGCAGCCACUCAUUAAAAGAGUGCGUAAUAGCUCACUGGUCGAGUGACCCUGCGCCGAAAAUUCAACGGGGCUAAACAAUGUACCGAAGCUUGGGAUUCUAGAUUUAUCUAGAGUGGUAGGAGAGCGUCGAAUAAGGGGUGAAGUCAGAGCGGAAGCGCUGGUGGACUUUAUUCGAGUGAGAAUGCCGGAAUGAGUAGCGAGAAUUAUGUGAGAAUCAUAAUGGCCGAAAAUCUAAGGUUUCCUGAGGAAGGUUCGUCCGCUCAGGGUAAGCCGGGGGCUAAGGCGAGGCGGAGACGCGUAGCCGAUGCACAUACGGUUGAAAUUCCGUAGCCACCGAAAGAUUUAAGUACAGGGACGCUUUAGAAGUGAUGUAGCCGGGCGAUGGUUGACCCGGUCGUAAGGGAUCGAAAAUGAGUAGAGAAGUCAUCAUGGAAAGAGACAAGAAAAGCUGUAUGAAUAUCUUAGGUGCCCGUACCGCAAACCGACACAGGUAGAUAGGAAGAAGAUUCUAAGGCCAACGGGAGAAGGGUUGUUAAGGAACUCGGCAAGUUGACCCCGUAACUUAGGGAUAAGGGGUGCUCAAGUGAUUGAGCCGCAGAGAAUAGGCCCAGGCGACUGUUUAGCAAAAACACAGGUCUCUGCUAAAUCGAAAGAUGACGUAUAGGGGCUGACACCUGCCCGGUGCCGGAAGGUUAAGAGGAGAUGUGAGAGCAUUGAAUUGAAGCCCCGGUAAACGGCGGCCGUAACUAUAACGGUCCUAAGGUAGCGAAAUUCCUUGUCAGGUAAGUUCUGACCCGCACGAAUGGCGUAAUGAUUUGGGCACUGUCUCAACAGCCCGCCCGGCGAAAUUGUAGUACUGGUGAAGAUGCCAGUUACCCGCAACUAGACGGAAAGACCCCAUGGAGCUUUACUUUCCGCUCGCCAAGAUAUCCCUCCAGAUGAUCGUCGAUCUUCACGGGACCUACGCCAGCAGGUGUUCCGGUAUAAAUCAAAUCGCCUAUUUUCAGCGUAAAGAAGCGACUUACGUACGCGAUAAUCUUAUCUACCGAAAACAGCAUAUUCGAGGUAUUACCUUCCUGUACCUUCGAGCCAUUGAUAUCCAGAUGGAACGGAAGCCGGUUUACAUCCCCCGCUUGCUCCAGCGGAAUAAAGGUCCCGAUCACAGCCGAAUUAUCAAACGCCUUACUAAUCUCCCACGGUAGCCCUUGCGCACGCAAUUUAUUCUGCAAAUCCCGUGCCGUGAAAUCAAUACCGACCGUAACCUCAUUGUAAUAACGAUGAGCGAAACGCUCGGCUAUAUUUUUCCCCAAACGGUCUAUCCGUACCACGAUCUCCGUCUCAUAAUGAACUUCCGAUGAAAAAUCCGGAAUAAAAAACGGUUUCCCAUCUUUCAACAAAGAGGAGUCCGACUUCAUAAAAAUAGUAGGCUCUGAUAAUUCUAACGAAUGAUGCAGCUCUUUAUUGUGAGCGGCAUAGUUCAUUCCAACGGCGAUAAUCUUCAUAUUUUAGUGAUUCAUUGAGUUCAAUCGAUUAAACAUAACAGCUAAAUGCGCAUACAUAG